This 465-nucleotide ribosomal RNA is filed under the name uncultured bacterium. RNAcentral describes it as "partial 16S ribosomal RNA". It matches the Rfam family "Bacterial small subunit ribosomal RNA", at positions 28 to 507 of the family's 1533-position model. The record is from RNAcentral.
GACGAACGCUGGCGGCGUGCUUAACACAUGCGAGUCGUACGGUAAGGCCCUUUCGGGGGUCCACGAGUGGCGCACGGGUGAGUAACACGUGAGUAACCUGCCCACAACUUUGGGAUAACGCUAGGAAACUGGUGCUAAUACUGGAUAUGUGCUCCUGCUGCAUGGUGGGGGUUGGAAAGCUCCGGCGGUUGUGGAUGGACUCGCGGCCUAUCAGCUUGUUGGUGGGGUAGUGGCCUACCAAGGCGGCGACGGGUAGCCGGCCUGAGAGGGUGACCGGCCACAUUGGGACUGAGAUACGGCCCAGACUCCUACGGGAGGCAGCAGUGGGGAAUAUUGCACAAUGGGCGCAAGCCUGAUGCAGCAACGCCGCGUGCGGGAUGACGGCCUUCGGGUUGUAAACCGCUUUCAGCAGGGACGAAGCUUUUUGUGACGGUACCUGCAGAAGAAGCACCGGCUAACUACGUG